Molecule: ribosomal RNA, 272 nt
Filed under: uncultured bacterium
Lineage: Bacteria
Description: partial 16S ribosomal RNA
Rfam family: Bacterial small subunit ribosomal RNA
Source: RNAcentral
UACGUAGGUGGCAAGCGUUGUCCGGAAUUAUUGGGCGUAAAGCGCGCGCAGGCGGUUCUUUAAGUUGGGUGUCAAAGGCAGCGGCUCAACCGCUGUACGCACCCAAAACUGGAGAACUUGAGUGCAGGAGAGGAUAGUGGAAUUCCCGGUGUAGCGGUGGAAUGCGUAGAGAUCGGGAGGAACACCAGUGGCGAAGGCGACUGUCUGGCCUGUAACUGACGCUGAGGCGCGAAAGCGUGGGGAGCAAACAGGAUUAGAAACCCUCGUAGUCC